Hevea brasiliensis (rubber tree) is the source of this 1973-nucleotide RNA transcript. It is a transcript of the gene named G-box-binding factor 1, with no coding region annotated. The record is from RefSeq and is a predicted model, not a curated record. Lineage: Eukaryota; Viridiplantae; Streptophyta; Magnoliopsida; Malpighiales; Euphorbiaceae. The transcript has 12 exons.
UUCUCUCUCUCUCUCUCUCUCUCUCUCUCUCUCUCUCUGUUUUUGUUUUUAAGACAACCCAAUAUUUCUGACUUAAUAAGAGAGACAAUAGAGACACUGAAACUGAGAUUAGAAGGGGAUUGCUGGGUUCUAUUUGUAUGUCUUGUCUCUUUCUCUCUCUCUCUCUCUCUCUAUGUGGACAUUCGACUUGCAUAUUCUUAGGCCUUUUUGAUUGUUCUUCACCUUCAACUCUCAGCCGUUGAUCUUUUAGAGAAAAGGGAAAGUAUCUAGAACAAAAGAAGUGCUCAUUCUUCUUUCCUUGGCUAGUCUUUAUAAAAUAUCCCACCUGGACUUCCACCUCAGUAUUUUUUCCACGCCUUCAAACCAGGCGCUUCAUAUACUUACGGCACGGCAGUGCACAAUAAGCCAAUUGUAAUUGUUGAAUCUAGUUGUACUUGCUAAGUUGAUUUAAUGGGGACAGGGGAAGAGAGCACACCUGCUAAGCCUUCCAAAUCAGCAUCAUCAACUCAGGAAGUACCAACAACACCCUCAUAUCCUGAUUGGUCAAAUUCUAUGCAGGCUUAUUAUGGUGCUGGAGCUUCUCCACCUCCUUUUUUUGCAUCAACUGUACCAUCUCCAACUCCUCAUCCAUAUAUCUGGGGCAGCCAGCAUCCUCUAAUUCCACCCUAUGGCACCCCAGUUCCAUACCCAGCUUUAUAUCCUGCUGGGGGAUUAUAUGCCCAUCCUAAUAUGACCACGACACCAAAUUCAGCACAGAUAAAUACAGAGUUGGAAGGAAAGGUUGCUGAUGGAAAGGAUCGGGCUUCAGCCAAAAAAUCCAAAGGAACAUCAGCUGGCAAGGCAGGAGAGAGUGCAAAGGCAACUUCAGGUUCUGGAAAUGAUGGCGCCUCUCAAAGUGCUGAAAGUGGUAGCGAUGGCUCCUCAGAUGCAAGUGAUGAGAAUCAACAGGAAUUUGCUGCAAAUAAGAUGGGAAGUUUCAAUCAGAUGCUUGCAGAUGCCAAUGCGCAAAAUAACACUGCAGGGGCAUCAGUGCCAGGGAAACCUGUCGUAUCUAUGCCUGCAACUAAUCUAAAUAUUGGAAUGGACUUAUGGAAUGCAUCUGCUGCUGCUGCUCCUGGAGCUGCAAAAAUGAGAACCAAUGCAUCUGGUGCCUCAUCAGCAAUAGUUCCUGCAAUAAUGCCUGAACAAUGGAUACAAGACGAGCGUGAACUGAAAAGACAGAAGAGGAAGCAAUCUAACAGGGAGUCAGCCAGAAGAUCAAGAUUACGGAAGCAGGCCCCAGAGGGGCAAAAGGAGCUUAAUUCUGUUCAAGCUUAUCUAUCUUCGUUAGGACACUUGGCAUAAUAUGUUGAUAAUAACUGGGCUAGAUAUCGUUGGUUAAUGGUUAUAUGUGGAGAUGUGGACAUCUAGGUUGGCUAUACUCUUCUGGUUGAAGGUUAGAAAGUGGGACGAACCAGAAGUUUAGAAGAACAGAAAUAGAGAAAGGGAAGAAGCACAGAGAAGAAAUCAAAGAGAAGAAACUGUCAUUAUCUCAUUCAAUGGUUUGCAGUUGUGAUGCACAAGUAUUUAUAACCAAAUGUACAGCAGAAAAACAGAAAUGUAACAGAUUACAAUAGCAGUUCCUGCUCAUCCAUAACAGACGCUACUCUCACCAACAACACAACCAAUCGGAAUUCUCUGUUUAUUACUUCCAACCUCCCAUUGUUCUCUUCAAUGCACCAUUUAACCUCUAGUCUGCAACAGAAAACCCAAGCAACUGAAAGUUUGGGGAAGUGUUUUCUUUAGAAGUUUACAAGAUAUUGACCAGCUCAUCUUUUUAUAAGUUGUUAAAUCUUUUUCUUUCAUUAAUCAUCCUUGGCAGGCAGAGUGUGAAGAGCUACAAGCCAGGGUAGAGAAUUUGACUAAUGACAGUUGCAGUCUUAGAGAGGAACUGCAGAGGGUAUCUGUGGAAUGCGAGAAACUUAAAUCUGAAA